GGGGGUGUGCGCUUUUCAUGGCAGUGACAAAAAUGGGAGAGAAGACUAGCAGACACUUGCCAUGCCUGUUACCAUUUCAGCUCUGAGACACCCACUUCCACCCACCUUCCAUUGCCCAAAGUAAGUCGCAUGACCAAGCUGAACAUCAGUGGGAACUAGAAAUAUAUGUGGCCUAAUCUAGUGGGAGGGACUGCAAAGUCACACAGCUAAGGGCAAGGAUAUAUGAUUCUAAUAUUGAGGAGGGGUCAUAAAAAGUAGGGACUUGCCCCACUUUUCUUGAAGAUUUAUAAUGUGCAUUAGCAUGUUGAGGGCCCUGCAAAGUCCUGCAGUCAAUGAGCCUGUCUAACUGCUAACACAGCGUCCCCCAAACUUCUCUGAGCACAGAAUCCUACCAUCAUCCCACUGGCUUAGUGUUUCGAGACUUGCUGAUGCAGGCAGUUCAUCUUUAGAAGUCCAAGGAAGGAGAAGGCAGUGGACCCAGCUGCUCCUUAAAGAAUGGACUCAGCAAAGCAGAUGACGAGGCUUAUACAAAUGGUACAACAGAACUGAAAAGUUGUCGUAUGAGUUAAAGUCCCUUUUCUCAAGGCGCUCUUUCUUAUGAGAAUCUCAUCAAAUACUCCAUUCCCUCAUGGACAAGAAGAACCCAGAAUGAUAUCAGUGUUGUCUGAAAGAAAACACAACUGUCUUGGAGUCCGGUCUUCACUAGCCCCAGGGCCUAGGGAAAUGCCUCAAAAGGCGGGCUCUUCUCCUCUGAGGACUGGAGCAUGUCCUGCCAGCUGGGCUUCCUGCAAACACACAUGGAUUGGGAAGUGUGGCUGGAUUGGAAACAGAGAGAGGUGGAUGAAACAGGUUUCCCAUGAGAGUCUGAUCAUCUCCGGCUCGCUAAUAGAAGUUCCUCUGGAAUGGAGACGUGAGCUCUUUCCUCUUUCCUGUGAGGACCCGGACCAGGCACAGGCAGAGGAGCAGGAAGCAAGUUUGCCGACGUGGGUGCUGUCAACUCCGACUGUACGGGUGAACAGAGCUGCUCGGAAUGGCAUCUCACACUGUCUUCAGGAAGCGCCCAGGGCAAUGGGGUGAGGCCUGAGACACAGGCUGGGGCCUCCACUGCUCUGAGAAAUGGGUCUUUCGGAUGGCACCUUCACUUCAGACCGUCUGCCCCCAGGAGGCUUGACGAUCACUGAGAGCCACUGCUCAGAAAGGAAGAUCAUUCUUCAGGAGGUGGGAGACCUGGGAUCUAGAUGUCUCUCUACCAACCCACCUUUGACAAGCCCCUUCACCUUGCCGGGCCUCAGUUUCCCUGUUCUGUUUGGAGAACAACAGUGCCUGCCCCAUCCUGCCUCACAGAUUGCUACAAGGCUCAAUGCGGGGAAGGGCUUUGUGAAAUGCCAGCUCAGUCUGUUCCAGUUGAUUCUUACGUGAGUGAAUUCCGCAAUGACUGGGUACAGACUCUGCGCAAGUGUCACGCUAGGCUCUGGGGCCCAAAGAUGGCAGGACCUACUCUCUGCCCCCACAAGCUCACGGUCUAUUCAUGUUUCUAGAAGUGGACUUUGAUUCUGUACACUGUUCCUGCCCGUGAGGCAGAUAGUCUGCUGGCCGGUGGUGUUCUGGUGAUGGAGUUCUUUCCGUGCUAGCCUCCCUUCCUCCCCUGUGCUCUCCCCCUCCCCCACCACACUGCUUGCUCUGCAGGAAGGUGGAGCAGGAGGGCCCUCCACGCACCCUCUUAUCCGCGUGGCAGUUGAGGCCAGUGAAGCUCAGAGGACUGAAUGGCUCACCAGGACCCUGAGCAAGAUGACGGCUGCUGGGAGGCAGGUCUCCUGCCUGCUUUUUU
Equus caballus (horse) is the source of this 1828-nucleotide long non-coding RNA. Lineage: Eukaryota; Metazoa; Chordata; Mammalia; Perissodactyla; Equidae. The record is from Ensembl.